AUUAAUUAUUUUUCACUCCAGACAAUUGCACUGAAGAGACUCACUCAGUCACUGUCUAGUCAAGUCACUGAGCUUAGAGCCUAUAGUGAGAGUAAAGCCCCUAGCUUGCCGAAGAAUUCUAAUCGAGGAAGAAACUAGGCUGAUGAGUGAUGGCUAUUGUUGCUGUGAAUAUUGCGUUGGAACCUCCAAAUGAUGUUUCUAAUUUUUCUGCUGAAGACAAUAAUGGCAAUGGAAUAAAUUAUUUGGACUCACAACUUCAUAAUGAUUGCUUAAAUGGUAAUGAUACAGUUGUUGACGAAUUCUUAUCAUUACGUUCUGAUAAAGAAAAAAGGAAAUUGUUAAAUGCCAUUAAUUGUAAUGGCUAUACACCCCUUCAUAUUGCUUGUGAGCAAGAGCAUGCAGAAGUCGUUAAAAUCUUAAUGAAGCAUGGAGCUAGUCCAGUUAUCUGUAAUCAAAGGGAUCCUCUUUACCAGUGCCUCACAAAUAAAAAUGGAGAUAUUGAACUUAAAUGUGAUGAUAAAUCUGACGAAAGAAAUCAAAUCUAGCUGUUGGUGACACUCAAGGAAUACAAAAAUCAGCUGACACUUACAGGCUAAUCUUAAAGGUUGAAUUUAUAUUACCAAUAGAAGAAUUUUUUAGAAAUGUUGUGACAAUUUUUACAAAUGACCUACAUGUAUUGUACAUGUAGAUAAUGAAAGUAUGCAUCCAGGAUUCAAAGAUAUUGUGUGGCUUUUAUUUUUUAUUGAUGUAUUUUCAUUGAAGGAUAGACUGUUGCAUUAUAUUGUGAUUGAACAAGAACAAACAAUAUACCCAAACAAUUAAGUCAAGUGUUCUAAAGCAGCUGAUUGGUUCUAUUUUUGAAUCAAAGAAUGAAGAAUUUGAACCACCUUCAGCAACUAUAGCGGAUGUAAAAAAUCAAAUUAAACCACUAUCAGAGGAAAUAAAAGAUUUAAGCACUUCAGUGUCUUAGGAAGUAAAGGAAUUACGCAGUUCAGUUGAUCAUUUGUUAGCCAUUGUUAAACAUAUGAGGAAUGAAGGAGAAGAAGGAGCUAGAGAAGUCAAAAGAAAAGGGCCUGGAGAAGGAGAAUUAACUUGUGCUUGAUAAUAUUCAGGAUAAGUAGAUCUAUAUAACUUUAUAAGUUUUUAAGUGUAGAUUUUAUGCUAUAGCUUAGCUAGAUAGUAAAUAUUUUUGUGUGCUGUUUUUAGUUUUAAACUUUUAUAUGCAAAUAAUGGUAGAACUUCUAUAUUUUUAAUAUUUCAAACUACAACUAAUUUAUAAUCUGUAUCAGGCUGAAUAAGACCACAAAGAAUUUGAAAAAUCAA
Molecule: long non-coding RNA, 1323 nt
Organism: Amphimedon queenslandica
Lineage: Eukaryota; Metazoa; Porifera; Demospongiae; Haplosclerida; Niphatidae
Exons: 6
Source: RefSeq, a predicted model, not a curated record